CAGCUCUCUAAACCAAACACUGACAGCAGUUUAAUCUUACAGAUAUAAAAAAAAUCCGAGUCAGAGAAAUCAUCACGAUGAAGUCAGAGGCGAGAAACUGUCAGUGUAUACAGAGUCUUGCUCUGUCACCCAGGCUGAAGUAUAGUGGUUCGAUCUCGGCUCACUGCAACCUCCACCUCCUGGCUCCCGCGAUUCUCCUGCCUCAGCCUCCUGAGUAGCUGAGAUUACAGGCGCCCGCCACCACGCCCGGCUAAUUUUGGUAUUUUUAGUAGAGAUGGGGUUUCACCAUGUUGGCCAGGCUCAUCUGGAACUCCUAGCCUCAAGCAAUCCGCCUUCAAAAGUGUUGGGGAUUACAGGAGUGAGCCACCGCGCCCGGCCUAUCAAUAAAUAAGAAAACUUUUAAAGAAGCACAGGAUAGUAUUGGAGGUCAAGUAUGUUCCUCUUGGAAAUUUAGUAACAAACUACAUGUUGCUAUCUCAUAAUGGCAGCUAACAUUUAUGAAGUAUUCAUUGUCAUGAGGCACCGUACAUAGAUUUCUAAUUUAAUCCUUACAACGAUUUUAUUAGGGAGAAACUGCUAUUAGAUCCAUUUUGUAAAUGAGAAAACUAAGGCACACAAAGUUUAAUGAAGGAACCAGGAUUAACCCUAAGCAAUCUAACUCCAGGUCCCAGAUUUUUUAACCACUAUUACAGUACUGUUUAAUUUGAUUUGAUAUUUAAAAGGAUUAAUAAAAUUAGUACAGGUCCAUUCCCUUAUUCAUAAAUGUUCAUUGUCUCCAUUUAUUUCUUUAUACUGUUCUGCUGAAAUUGCACUCUCAUCUCCCCAAUAACUUUGUAAUAUUCAAUACCAUUUUCUUCAGUCAUCCCAUUUUAAAAUAUAUUUUUACUAGAAUAGUGAAAUAUAUAUUCAGAUAAAAUUGGCUUUGUUUUAAUAAUGAUCAGUAAAAGUAAAUUCAUUUUAAUCAUUUCCACACAUUCAUGAAAAGUAAAGGGGAAAAAUGGGCAUAGAGGUAAACACUAGAAUUAGGCUUUCUUGGAUGGGUAGACCAGGUGUGGAGGUGUGCAGAUAAGAUUUUACAAACACUCAUACACUCCCAUCUCCAAAAUCAUAAUUUAUCUUACAUUCUGCUACUAAUAAACAUUCCACUGGUUUUAAACAUUCACUUUUCUGGGUCUCCUCUUUAAAAUUUAUCAUUCACUGUUCUCAAUGUUAGAGACAGUAUGCAAACAGUAGGUUUAGGAAUAGAGUCAGGAGAUGGGGGAAGAAAAACUGGUAGGAGAGAAUGUCUCACAGUGUUAAAUGUGACUUGAUAGCCACUAUUUAUAUGUUUUUGUAGUUUGCUGUGAGGAUGACUUUAUACAAUUUAAUCUUAAAUAGGAACCUAACUUAAUAGUUAGGCUUCCUUGGGUAGUCUGUGGAGCGUGGAAAGGUUAUUAGCAUGUCAAAAUCCUGUCCACGCACACAUACAUGCACAUACACACAAAUGUAGUUGGGUUACAUAAUAAAUUUAUAUUCAAACUUAAUGAAAACAACCAAUAGGAAAAAGCUUCUCAAUUCCAAAAGUGAAAGAGUAAUUUUACAAUACCAUUUUCCUUUUUCCUUUUCAUGAUAAAUCUAUGCAUUUUCUCAGGAUUUAUUCCACCAAACGACUUUGUAUUUCUCAUGAAACAUCUACCUUUAUUCAUCUCAGCAUUUAUUUAUGUAAUAAACAUUUCUUUUGAUGUGCUUUUAUUUUUACAAAGAUGCCACCUAGUGGCUUGAUAAAAUCAAGCAUUUCAAAGUAUUUGCCGUUGUUACUCCAGGUUAAAAUGAAUAAUGAAUAUUUUUAAUAUUAAAAUAAUUUAGAAAACUAAGGACCUGAAAAUUUUUGUUUUGGAAAUUAUGUAGAUUAAAUUUGGAUCAUAAUAUCACUUUGUGAGCUUGUUAAGAGAAUGGAAAUAUAGGUCUAUAGUCCCUUUUCUGAAACCUUUUAGGACAGAUGUGUUUGAUAUUCAGAAUUUUUCAGAUUUUUGAAAGGAAAUAUGGGCAUAUACUUUACAUUAUGUAACACAUUCAGAGGGUCUGAGGAAGCAGUUUAGAAUCAAAUAUAUUGAUACAUCUGUGCCAAAAUAUAUUCAUAUUCACAUUGAAGUGGGAUAAAUAGCACAAAUAGCCUCAUGUAAUUCAGGUGGGGUUUGUUGCCAAAUGAGUUAUGAAAAAACUUUGUUUUCAGAGAUUUUUGAAAUUAGGAAUUUAGAUAAGGGACUGUGGACCUGUUUUACUCUGGUGAAAAAGAAUUCACCCUCCAGUUAUAGAGAGAUUAAAAUGCCAAUAUUUUGUAAAAAAAAAAAUAGUAAUAGUUAUCUUUAGAAAAGCUAAUAGAUUCACCUAAAAAAAUUGAGGAUCAUGAGAAAUACCAAAAUAGAAAUCUUUGCAAUGCUUUUCAUUUAAUUAUAUACAGAAGCCAAUCAUAAAUUACAUUUAAGUGUACCACAAAAAAUUAGCUGCUAACGUAAACCUAAAGACCAAUUUGAAAAUUAUUAGUGAUGCAUGGCAAGUUCAAUUCAUAAAUUUUGUGGCACAGUCAAAAAAAAAUUUAACCUUGGUUGUUUCUUUUUUUUUUUUAUUCCUAUGUAUAAUUUACCAUGUUCCAAUUCCCCACCACCACUAUAGUCAUGGAAAUAUAUGUUGAUGGUGCCACGCUCAGCCUGGAUUCCUUGUGUGUCUAUGAGCACUUCUUACCAACCCUCCUUAAACAUGCAGUAUGAAUAAAAAAUACACUUAUAUCAAGACACUGGGAUUUAAGGAUAACCCAUGCUAAGUCACUACAUUACUCACUAUUUUACUUCACUAUCUAGAAUACUGACUCAUCUCUAGUCUCUCAAAUGAAUUCUUCCUGUCCCCAUCAAUCAUUCAAACCCCUUAUCACAUUCCCACUGUGAUUUCCUGUGAAUUUCGUCUAAAAUAAAACGUCGACCUCCUCUAAACCCAACUGGUAGCCUCUCAUUUACUUUUCUCUAAAACAAUUGGCAUUACUAUUGUUGUAGCAUAGGCUACAAUCUCACUGAACACUUAGUUUUUGUUUUUGUUUUUAGUAGAGACGUGGUUUCACCAUAUUGGCCAGGCUGGUCUCGAACUUUUGACCUCAAGUGAUCCACCCACCUCAGCCUCCCAAAGUGGUGGGAUUACAGGUGUGAGCCACCACGCCUCCCCACUGAACACUUAGUUUUAAUGCUGCACUUAGCAAAUCCAAAAUACUCGUGAUAAGUUCAGCAAUUUGGUACUUAAUCCUAUACCCCACAACACACUUGCGUAGGGUGUUAACUUCUGUUUGUUUACAUAAUCAUAGCGGAUGGGAGGAAAAAGAAAAAGCUGCUAUUAGCCUACAUGUGGGAAUUUUCCUAUAUAUUGUCAUCUCCCUUUUAAAAAAGAUACAUUCAUAAACAUUGUUAUUGGCUUAAUUAGCUUCACUCCUCUGACUGGGAUUAGAAAAUUGACAAUAAAAUAUAGCUUUUCUUCCAUCCCCCAAUUCUGAGGGAAAAGGAGAGGGAGGGGAGAAUGAGGGAGAGUGAAAGGAUACAAUAAAACCUGAGGCCUGAUUGCACAUGAUGACUACUACUGCUGGCAUCAAUUCAUUCUAUUCCAAUGACAGACUACUUGAUCCUACUGGUGUGGGAAAGAUGGCAACCUUGAGACCUGAGCCUUACUCCAGUAGGGUGCCCCCCUAUAUCUUGUUUGCCCAGGACAGUCAUGGUGUACAUCUGUUAUCCUUAUGUAAUUAUUUUCACUCAAAACCAUUCCAAGUGGAAUGAUAAGUUAUCCUAUAGUUAUCCUAAAUAUAAGCCAUUUUCAUCCCAAAGGAAAGAAUGCCAAGAAAUUGGAAUCGUCUGCACUAAGUCCCAGUGUGGGAGAAAGGGGGCAUCAACUUUGUUGCCAUUUCUUCUUUCUUAGCAAAGCUCAGAUUGAUUAGCUUCUCUUUCUUUUCAAGUAUCUGCUGUAUGGUGAUUAACUAGAAUGAAACCCAUGGGAGAACUGAAAUAGGCCAUUCUGAAAAUUAUUAAAAUUAGUUUAGUAGCCACUCAAAACACUGAAGAUCUUUGAAUAAAAGAAUCAUUUGCAAAGUGAUCAGGAGACUUAACCUGGAUGUUUAUAGGAAGCAACUGGGAAAAGACUGAAGGAAUAAAAACGAUCAGGUGUAAAGUUCUGUGAGCAAUUGAGACAGAAGAAAGAACCAAUGACCAAAUUGCAAUACCUUUUAGAUACCUAUCCCAUUAACAUAAUCUGCCUAUAACCAAUAUGCAGCUCUUUGCAGAAAAUGAAAUCGUUUACUACUUCUGCUCGUAUUUGUUCUUUACAGAUAUUUUGACAGAAAAAGUAAAGACAGCAGGAUCUAGUUUCAUUUGGUACAGCCCAUACAGUACAGGAAGAACUCACAACAUCCCAAGCAUAUUCAUAAAUAAUAAUAUAACAGGAGCAUCAGUUCUAGAACCAGACUGCCUGGGUUCAAACUUUAGCUUCACAUCUUACUAGCUAUGUGACCUUGGAUUUGUUAUUAAAUCAUCUCUUGGUUUCAGUGUCCCCAAGGCCCCAAGUUGCAUAAUUGCAGGGGAAAACUACUCACGUAGGGUUCUGGUUUCUUAUCUGGAAAAUGAAGAUAAUUUGUAGUAUCACUCUUAGGGUUGCAGUGCAGGUUUAAUGAGUAAAAUUAGUCAGGUACUUAUGAUAGUGCCUGACAUUCAUAUUAAAGUCUCAACAAACAUUAGCUAUUAUUGUUAUAAUAUUAUUUUUACAAUGACUAUUAUUCUGCAACUAGCAUUUCUAAUGCAAACACCAGUAAGGUCCCCUUUUAGCAAAAAAGUUCAGUAACAUUGUUGGUGAAACAUAAAAGACGCCCAAGAAUCAUGGCAGAUACAGGACUGAAAGUAUGACAAAAACACAGCAAGCCAUCUUUGUUUUUGUGUUAUCCAAAGGACCUGAAAAAUAAUGGUUGGCUAGAAAAUUACCUUGAAAGCACCCAUGCAAACACACUUCAGGAUCAUGUUUUAAUAAAUAUAUAUUCAAGAAAUGUUUAGAACUGAAAAUGUUGUUAUAAAUCAUAUUCUAUUUCUUUUACAGCAUUAGAAAUAGGCCAUUCUGAGAAACAGGCCAAACUUGCCUCAAUGUAGUCAUUGAGUUAACAAUACUAGAACCAUGAGAAUGAGAAACCCUGGGCUUCUAACUCCCCCUCUAACACUUCCCCACCAGAAGGAGCCUUCUUGCACUCUAACCUCUAAAAAUCCACCUUAUUUAAUAUUUAUUUAGUAUUCAUGUUACAGCUCUAUGAGGGGAGAAAUAUAAUGGAAAGAAGGAAAAAUACCAUUUUUUUUUCUCAUUCUGAGCAAAUGUGCGCACGCAUGCAUGCACACACACACGUAUACACAAAACCCCACAAGAGUAUAGUACUAUCUAUUAAGGAUAUAGUAGUACUUAAGUACUAUCUAUUAGAUAUAGUACUAUCUAUUAAGUAUAUCUAUUAAGUAUAUCUAAUAGAUAUAGUACUAUCUAUUAAGGAUAUAGUACUAUCUAUUAAGGAAAAAGAUACCAAGUUAAAUUUAACCAAGUAUUUAGAAAUGACAGGGAGCUAGGAAGAAAGGACGAAAACACAUGUAAUUUUAUUUUUGUUUAACCUUAAGCUUGCCAACUUCUUUCCCUGAACAGCAUUUGUAGUGUUUUGAUACCCACCUACACUUAUAUUAGAAACAUACUGCAAACUAUUUAGUGAUUCCACUUUUAAUUUGUAGUCGUAUGACUAAGAUGUUUUGAAUAUAAGCCUAUCCGUAUGCCAGAUAUAAAUUUCAGGAACUCUUAAUGUCUCUUCUUUUACAGAAACUCUACCUCUAUCCUGAUGUAAUUAGGUUGAUUAAGAAAAUUAAAGGCCACGGGCCAGAAAACUAACUUCCACAAAUGCAACAAAAGGAAAAUUUCUCCAAUAACCUCUGUGCAAUGGGAAAUCUUUCUUUUAAGUACCAAGUCAAUUUCUUUAACUGUACAAUGUAUUCUAAUUUGCAGGUUUUCAAAUAUAAUACAGUAACAACAAAAUAUAAUAAAAUUAAGACUAUAAGAAAACAGAGUAAAUGGUAUAAUUCAAAUAAUGACUAAAAUAAAAUGACACUAUGGAUUUUGUAAUCAACCUAUAAUUAUUUAAAUUUUACUUUACAUACAUAAGAUCACAGCUGAGGUUAACCAUAAUUUCAAAUUUUAUCACCAGCCACUUGUGCUAUUUUAUCACAUUUGAAAAUAUUCACUCGUAUUAUUUACUUCAAACAGUAAUCUAUAAAUUUGUUUAGACUCUAAUAAUUAAGGACCUUUUCUUCUUCAGGAUAACUUAAAAAAUUAAAUGAUGUAUUGAACAUACUACUAAAGAAACUUCACUUUUUGAUUAUGGUCUCUGCAUUGAAGAUCUGUAGGAAUUUUUCUUUAAUAAUUUUCAAAUCUUCCCAUGGCCUCUGUUCACAGAAAUAUCAUCUCUGAAAUAACUUGUG
Pongo pygmaeus (Bornean orangutan) is the source of this 6500-nucleotide long non-coding RNA. RefSeq lists it as uncharacterized. The record is from RefSeq and is a predicted model, not a curated record. The transcript has 2 exons. Lineage: Eukaryota; Metazoa; Chordata; Mammalia; Primates; Hominidae.